Molecule: ribosomal RNA, 492 nt
Filed under: uncultured bacterium
Lineage: Bacteria
Description: partial 16S ribosomal RNA
Rfam family: Bacterial small subunit ribosomal RNA
Source: RNAcentral
AGUGAACGCUGGCGGUAGGCCUAACACAUGCAAGUCGAACGGCAGCACAGUAAGAGCUUGCUCUUACGGGUGGCGAGUGGCGGACGGGUGAGGAAUACAUCGGAAUCUACUUUUUCGUGGGGGAGAACGUAGGGAAACUUACGCUAAUACCGCAUACGACCUACGGGUGAAAGCAGGGGAUCUUCGGACCUUGCGCGAGUGAAUGAGCCGAUGUCGGAUUAGCUAGUUGGCGGGGUAAAGGCCCACCAAGGCGACGAUCCGUAGCUGGUCUGAGAGGAUGAUCAGCCACACUGGAACUGAGACACGGUCCAGACUCCUACGGGAGGCAGCAGUGGGGAAUAUUGGACAAUGGGCGCAAGCCUGAUCCAGCCAUACCGCGUGGGUGAAGAAGGCCUUCGGGUUGUAAAGCCCUUUUGUUGGGAAAGAAAAGCAGCAGGUUAAUACCCCGCUGUUCUGACGGUACCCAAAGAAUAAGCACCGGCUAACUUCGUG